Molecule: ribosomal RNA, 209 nt
Filed under: uncultured bacterium
Lineage: Bacteria
Description: partial 16S ribosomal RNA
Rfam family: Bacterial small subunit ribosomal RNA
Source: RNAcentral
CAAGUAGGCGGUUUGAUAAGUCCGUUGUUAAAAGCCCCUGGCUCAACUGGGGGAGGUCAAUGGAGACUGUCAGACUUGAGGGCAACAGAGGCACGUGGAACUCCCGGUGUAGCGGUGGAAUGCGUAGAGAUCGGGAAGAACACCCGUGGCGAAGGCGACGUGCUGGGUUGCCCCUGACGCUGAGUUGCGAAAGUGUGGGGAGCAAACGG